UCGUAAACUUAGCUUCCAACCAAAAUUUCAUCUUUUUUGAACCCUAGGUUGACACCGCAUUGGCUCUUAUGGCAGCAGUGCUGCACCAUUAACCUGUAUCAACAAGGAUCGUCAUCAGGGCCCGGAGUCGCUCCGGGUGACAUUCAUAUGCUAAACAAUGGUUUAAUUCUAGUUUGAACAAAUUAUAAUUCGUUGUUAUUAUACUCAUCAAUAAUAAGACAUAGAUGCAAUAUUUCUUAUUAAUGCCAAAAUAAUAUAAUAUAGCAAACACGACACCUUAUUGGUUAAACGUGAUCAAUGCCACACAUUUAAACAGCUGCAAGUUGUGUUGUUCAACAGGAAUAGAAAACGAGAAUUGCAAUGGCAGCAAGAUUUACAGUUUUAUAUAUUUGAGACGUGAAGAGAAACAAAAAUACAAAGCAGACCAGAAGCAUCCUCUAGACCUGUUAAAAUUGAAAAGGAAAAAAAAACAACAAUAAUUCUAAGCGUAUGUACGUAAAGGAGCGCAAGUAUGCAUGAUCCUGAACUAAUCUUUUACGUGCUCUACAUGAGAUCAAAUCCAAAAGCAUCAAGUUCUGAGGACUUACUGCCUGGAAUUUCCCACAAGUCGCAGCAUGGACAUUUCCAGCAGUAACACGUAGUUCUCUUAUAUUCUCUUGUGUCAUAGAAACCCAUUUCUUGGAGUUGUGAUAAUUGUGUGGCAUACAUUUCUUCCACAUGGAGCUUACCAUCAGACCAGCAGUAUCAGGUGCUCCUGAAACUGCAACUAAACGAAAAAUAAGGGUAAAAAUAUGAAAGAUAGAGGAAGGUCCUAAAGCAAGUUCGAGAGAGCCAUUGAUUGUUCGAGCAACUACUCUUCAUGCCCUUUGUAGAGAAAGUUCAGAACUACAAAUUGUACUCAUUUUUAUCAUGUACCUGUAGUAACACCACCCUGGUCUGUA
Molecule: long non-coding RNA, 941 nt
Filed under: Gossypium barbadense (sea-island cotton)
Lineage: Eukaryota; Viridiplantae; Streptophyta; Magnoliopsida; Malvales; Malvaceae
Description: long non-coding RNA (GBAR_LNC013098)
Source: RNAcentral